This is a non-coding RNA of Chinchilla lanigera (long-tailed chinchilla), 2349 nucleotides long. The record is from the annotation of a RefSeq genome assembly. Lineage: Eukaryota; Metazoa; Chordata; Mammalia; Rodentia; Chinchillidae.
AAAGGUGUUGUUAUCCUCAUUUCUCUCUUAGUUCAUUAAAAUUUAUGCAUAGGAAUGACUGAGAUUAGGGCACUUUCUUGAAAUUUGCACCCACGGCAAAUGCCUCACUCGCCACAUCCUAGUCUGUCCCAAGUAUCGGGGAUUCCAAGGACACAGACUAUUUUACAAAUCUGGUGCUUACAUUUUCACUGUGAAGAGGAGACCAGCCCUGAGAAUAGCGUGAGGCACGGGUAAAAAUGAUACAGUGUUCCCAUCACAACCAGUGAGGAAAGUUCAAGUCCUUCCCUUCUGGACCACAGCUUUCUGAAGGAAAAAACCACCCAGGCUCUCACCAGAGCCAGAGUCACCACAGGAAUGAACUCAAGCCUGUUAGGCAUGGGUGAAGGCGCCUGGUUGGGAGCAGAGGGGUCAUGAGGUCUUGAGGAGGAGAAGAAUUCAGAAAUCUAGGGGUCAAAGAGCAGCCCAGGGAACAGACACCAGGGAGAAAAGGAGGUCGGGUGAGACACACACUCAGACAGUAAAGAGCAGGCAGGGCAGAUCACACUGGAUCCUCUUCCAGAGCUCAGGGAAAUCCCAAUUGCAGGGCUGCCGGUGUAGCUCCUGGCAGAGUGCUCACCAGCACGCGGAGGUCCCGAGGUCAGUCUUCAACUUCCCACAAUAAAAACAAUCCUCAAGAAUGAUUUUACAUCUUGGGUACUUUCUUAUAAUCGAACACUUAUCCUUAUAUAGGAAAAUCACAAAAAAUGCUUGAAAUAUAUAAUAAAGGGAAAAUUAUGAAAAUGAAUCACGGUGUUGUACAUGACCUUGCCAUUCUCCAUAAUUAUUUAGGAUACAUAGGAGGCAUUCAGAUGACCCAGACUCACUCUCUCUUUCCAUCACCCUUGAAGACCCGGGCUUCAUCUCCUGCAGGUCCAGUCAGAGCCUUCUAUGUAGUGUAGUACAGUCCUACUUGCGUUGGACUGUAUGCAAACGAGGAGAGUUUCCAUGGCGCAUGAUUUCUGAGGUUUCCAAAAAGUACUCUUGGGUCCCAGACAGGUUCAGUUGUACUGGAUCAAAGACAGAAUUCACAUUCAAAAUCAUAGAGUGGAGGCUGAAGGUGCUGGAGUUCAUUACUGUACACAAUGUACACAUGCUCCUCCCACAGUGAUACGGCUCCAAACACAAACCUCCCCGGCUGAGGAGGCUCAGCUGCCCUCUGGUGCUGCUGUGCACCAUGGCAGAGUCUGUGGGUCCACAUGAGAGGAAGAAGCUGAAGAACACACAACAGGUUGCAGAAGAGGCCUCUGCACAGGACUAAGAGGAGAAAACAAAAGAGCCUAAGGACCUGUGCUCUGGUGCGGACCCAGACUCACAGAGUAGAAGGACGUGACUGGCUUCCACAGGUUCCUCUGAGCACCGGAAAUUCUAUUCUUUUCUGAAAUUGGAUGUAAACCUGAGAUGAUUAAUAAGAUGAAAUUAGAAUAUAACGUUUGUACUUAAUCAGCCUCUUCUCUCUUCUUAUGCCAGGAUCCUGAGCAGAUGUGGUGGUGCGCAUGGUUCACUCGGUCUGACUGUCACAUUGAGAGAGUUGGCCUACACCUCAGGCAGAACCACAGAGGGAGGACCUUCCCAAGCACGUGUGAGAUAAAAGCUGGCUCUAAUUUUGUCCUCACUGAUCAGAACUCUUCAGUUCAGUUUCUCGAAAUGAGGCUCCCUCUUCAGCUCCUGGGGCUGCUCCUGCUCUGGAUCACUGGAUCCACAGGAGAUAUUGUGAUGACCCAGACCCCACUCUCUCUGUCCAUCAGCCCUGGAAAGACGGCCUCCAUCUCCUGCAGGUCCAGUCAGAGCCUCCUACAUAGCAAUGGAAACACCUAUUUGCAUUGGGUGGUACAGAAGCCAGGCCAGGCUCCACAGGGUAUGAUAUACCAGGUUUCCAACCUGAUUUCUGGCGUCUCAGACAGGUUCAGUGGCAGCGGGUCAGGGACAGAGUUCACACUCACCAUCAGCAGGGUGGAGGCUGAGGACGCCGGAGUUUAUUACUGUUUGCAAGGUUUAUAUGCUCCUCCCACAGUGACACAGCCCCGAACACAAACCUCCCUGCCUGGGGAGGCCCAGCUGCCCUCGUGCGCUGCUGUCUGGGGAGCAGCAAAGCAGUCUGUUCUGCGUGAGAGGAAGAGGCUGAAGAACUCAGAACAACAAGCUGCAGCUGAGGCCUCUGCUGAGGACAGAGAGUGAGGAGAACAGGGCUGCAUGGACCUGAGCUCUGGUGAGGACGGGACACAGAGCAAGAACAGAGCUGACUUCCAGCAGUUCUUUUGACCUUGAAAAUUCUGUGUCUUUAUGAAAAUAAAUAAAACUAAAUCAAAUACA